UCGACACUUCGCCGGAUGUUCAUCCCUGGCUUCGCGAGAUGUCUUUUCCUCGCUUCACUAUUGUCGAGAUUAGCUUUAAGCCCUCGUCUACCUGAGGCCAGCUUAUAAAACUCUAAUAGGUCGACACUUCGCCAGAUGUUUAUCCCUGACUUCGCGAGAUGUGUUCUCCUCGCUUCACUAUCGUCGAGUAGAGUUCUAAGUCCUCUACAUUCCGAGGCUGCUUAUGGCUUCGAUAGUUCGAG
Molecule: long non-coding RNA, 242 nt
Filed under: Olea europaea (common olive)
Lineage: Eukaryota; Viridiplantae; Streptophyta; Magnoliopsida; Lamiales; Oleaceae
Description: long non-coding RNA (OEUR_LNC000095)
Source: RNAcentral